Molecule: ribosomal RNA, 392 nt
Filed under: uncultured bacterium
Lineage: Bacteria
Description: partial 16S ribosomal RNA
Rfam family: Bacterial small subunit ribosomal RNA
Source: RNAcentral
AUACGUAUGUCGCAAGCGUUAUCCGGCUUUAUUGGGCGUAAAGCGCGUCUAGGCGGCUUAGUAAGUCUGAUGUGAAAAUGCGGGGCUCAACCCCGUAUUGCGUUGGAAACUGCUAAACUAGAGUACUGGAGAGGUAGGCGGAACUACAAGUGUAGAGGUGAAAUUCGUAGAUAUUUGUAGGAAUGCCGAUGGGGAAGCCAGCCUACUGGACAGAUACUGACGCUAAAGCGCGAAAGCGUGGGUAGCAAACAGGAUUAGAUACCCUGGUAGUCCACGCCGUAAACGAUGAUUACUAGGUGUUGGGGGUCGAACCUCAGCGCCCAAGCUAACGCGAUAAGUAAUCCGCCUGGGGAGUACGUACGCAAGUAUGAAACUCAAAUGAAUUGACGGGG